RNAcentral lists this small nuclear RNA (97 nucleotides) under Suricata suricatta (meerkat). The record is from RNAcentral. Lineage: Eukaryota; Metazoa; Chordata; Mammalia; Carnivora; Herpestidae.
GUGCAGCACAUAUACUAAAAUUAGAAGAACACAAAGAAGAUUAGUGUGGCCCCUGCAUAUGGAUGACACCCAAAUUCAUGAAGCAUGCUAUAUUUUU